RNAcentral lists this unclassified non-coding RNA (373 nucleotides) under soil metagenome. RNAcentral describes it as "partial contains 5.8S ribosomal RNA, internal transcribed spacer 2, and large subunit ribosomal RNA". The stretch from base 1 to 121 matches the Rfam family "5.8S ribosomal RNA", at positions 35 to 154 of the family's 154-position model. The record is from RNAcentral.
GAUGAAGAACGUAGCGAAAUGCGAUAAGUAAUGCGAAUUGCAGAAUUCCAGUGAGUCAUCGAAUCUUUGAACGCACAUUGCGCCCUUUGGUAUUCCGAAGGGCAUGCCUGUUCGAGCGUCAUUAUCACCCCUCAAGCCCUCGGCUUGGUGUUGGACGGUUUGGUGGAGGCCCCCUCGGGGGCUCCUGCCCCUCCCAAAGACAAUGACGGCGGCCUCGUUAGACCCCCGGUACACUGAGUUCUUCACGGGACACGUAUCGGACACAUGGGUUUACGGGACACGGUCUGCCUCCCCUCAGGGAGAAUCUUUCUAAGGUUGACCUCGGAUCAGGUAGGGAUACCCGCUGAACUUAAGCAUAUCAAUAAGCGGAGGA